AGAGCGAACGCUGGCGGCGUGCUUAACACAUGCAAGUCGAGUGCGCGCCUGUAGCAAUACAGGUGGCGCACGGCGCACGGGUGCGUAACACGUGGGUAAUCUGCCCUUCGAAGGGGAAUAACUCGCCGAAAGGCGAGCUAAUUCCGCAUAACAUUCCGAGAACUUCCGUUUUCGGAUUCAAAGGCGUAAGUCGUCGGAGGAGGAGCCCGCGCACGAUUAGCUAGUUGGUGAGGUAAUGGCUCACCAAGGCUAUGAUCGUUAGCUGGUCUGAGAGGAUGGCCAGCCACACUGGAACUGAGACACGGUCCAGACUCCUACGGGAGGCAGCAGUGGGGAAUCUUGCACAAUGGGCGAAAGCCUGAUGCAGCGACGCCGCGUGGGGGAUGAAGCUUCUCGGAGUGUAAACCCCUUUCGACCCGGACGAAACCUCGCAAGAGGAUUGACGGUACGGGUAUAAGAAGCCCGGCUAACUACGCGCCAGCAGCCGCGGUAAU
This 494-nucleotide ribosomal RNA is filed under the name uncultured bacterium. Its description in RNAcentral is "SSU rRNA". It matches the Rfam family "Bacterial small subunit ribosomal RNA", at positions 26 to 524 of the family's 1533-position model. The record is from RNAcentral.